GGGGCUGGGGCUCAGAGGUAGAGCGCUCGUAUACCAUGCGAGAGGCACUGGGUUAGAUCCUCAGCACCA
RNAcentral lists this transfer RNA (69 nucleotides) under Ictidomys tridecemlineatus (thirteen-lined ground squirrel). RNAcentral describes it as "Spermophilus tridecemlineatus (thirteen-lined ground squirrel) tRNA". It matches the Rfam family "tRNA". Rfam says of the family: Transfer RNA (tRNA) molecules are approximately 80 nucleotides in length. Their secondary structure includes four short double-helical elements and three loops (D, anti-codon, and T loops). Lineage: Eukaryota; Metazoa; Chordata; Mammalia; Rodentia; Sciuridae. The record is from Rfam by way of RNAcentral.